This 280-nucleotide ribosomal RNA is filed under the name uncultured bacterium. RNAcentral describes it as "partial 16S ribosomal RNA". It matches the Rfam family "Bacterial small subunit ribosomal RNA", at positions 338 to 630 of the family's 1533-position model. The record is from RNAcentral.
CCUACGGGGGGCAGCAGUAGGGAAUAUUGGGCAAUGGGCGCAAGCCUGACCCAGCGACGCCGCGUGAGGGAUGAAGGUCUUCGGAUUGUAAACCUCUUUCAGUAGGGAAGAAGCGAAAGUGACGGUACCUAAAGAAGAAGCACCGGCUAACUAUGUGCCAGCAGCCGCGGUAAUACAUAGGGUGCAAGCGUUGUCCGGAAUUAUUGGGCGUAAAGAGCUCGUAGGUCGUUUGUCGCGUCGAUUGUGAAAAUCUGAGGCUCAACCUCAGACCUGCAGUCGA